Molecule: ribosomal RNA, 273 nt
Filed under: uncultured bacterium
Lineage: Bacteria
Description: partial small subunit ribosomal RNA
Rfam family: Bacterial small subunit ribosomal RNA
Source: RNAcentral
AGAAUCAACGCUGGCGGCGUGCCUCAGACAUGCAAGUCGAACGCGAAAGUCCCCUUCGGGGGACAAGUAGAGUGGCGCACGGGUGGGUAACACGUAGGUAAUCUACCUUCGGAUGGGGAAUAACAACCGGAAACGGUUGCUAAUACCGCAUAAUGCAGCGGCACCUAAUGGUGACAGUUGUUAAAGCGGGGGAUCGAAAGACCUCGCGUCUGAAGAGGAGCCUGCGGCGGAUUAGCUAGUUGGUAAGGUAAUGGCUUACCAAGGCUACGAUCC